RNAcentral lists this ribosomal RNA (479 nucleotides) under uncultured bacterium. RNAcentral describes it as "partial 16S ribosomal RNA". It matches the Rfam family "Bacterial small subunit ribosomal RNA", at positions 28 to 507 of the family's 1533-position model. The record is from RNAcentral.
GAUGUACGCUAGCGGGAGGCCUAACACAUGCAAGCCGAGCGGUAUGGAUAGCUUGCUAUCCAGAGAGCGGCGUACGGGUGCGUAACACGUGUGCAACCUACCUUUAUCUGGGGGAUAGCCUUUCGAAAGGAAGAUUAAUACCCCAUAAUAUAAUGAUUGGCAUCAAUUAUUAUUGAAAACUCCGGUGGAUAGAGAUGGGCACGCGCAAGAUUAGAUAGUUGGUGAGGUAACGGCUCACCAAGUCAAUGAUCUUUAGGGGUCCUGAGAGGGAGAUCCCCCACACUGGUACUGAGACACGGACCAGACUCCUACGGGAGGCAGCAGUGAGGAAUAUUGGACAAUGGGUGAGAGCCUGAUCCAGCCAUCCCGCGUGAAGGAUGACGGUCCUAUGGAUUGUAAACUUCUUUUGUACAGGGAUAAACCUACCCUCGUGAGGGUAGCUGAAGGUACUGUACGAAUAAGCACCGGCUAACUCCGUG